CCUAAUAUAACCUUUGCAUUCACUAACAUGAGGAGAAUGAUGAAGACUGACAAAUGAUAGUCAAAAUGUCACUAGAUAACAAAUAUCCGGACUUGUAACUAUGGACAAAACUGUCUGAAGGGUGUUAAGCUUUUGAGAGAUUCAUAAAAUCUUCAUUAGAUUAGGAAGAAAUCUGAAGUAUGUGUAAACGGAGAGUAGAAGAAAAUAUUUCUGUCAUCUGACAGCUGCAGAGAUCUUACAUACUCUUCUGAAAUACUUUGUACUGACCGCUGACAGAUGAACUGCAUCCUGGGUGUGAUUCAGAUGGCAAGUUCUUGGCUUGUUCUGGGACACAAACAAAUACUGAGUUCUUGGCUUUAUCUUUUGCAACGUAUUAGCUGCCUCAAAAGAACAAGCAAUCAGUCAAUUUCAAUUAUAUGCAAAGUUCUGAAGUAGCAUGUGUCUGAGGAUGAAUUUCAGGCAUGAAUUUACGAGGCUGGGACUCUCCUUCAAGUCCUGCUUCCUAUGACCUGCACUGUGUGUCACGGGAAAAGCUGCCUAGCCUUCUCACAAGCCACCCAAGGUGGCUAAAACUGCCUGAAACCUCUGUCUGGGCUGGAUUCUCAGCAGGUCUGACUCAACAGAUGUUGCUUCAGCUUUCUGCAGCUCUGAUCUAAAGCCACUACUGUUUCUUCCUACAGUCCUGUAAUACACAACAGACAUAAAGGUCAAAGGCAUCUCUGCCAGUAUUUAGGAACUGCACAGUAAAUUUCUUGAAGCCUCAAAGUCUCAGGAAAGGGAUGAGUAAAAUCUUGUCAAAUUGGAAUUACAGAAACUUCAAUUUCUGAGGCAUGUUUCCACUUUAUCCAUGGGGAGACCAGUUCUUUUUUGGGCCGUUUUCCAUUGCGCAGGGCAAGUAACAAAGGCAGGAGGUUACAACAGCCCCUCUUAGAGAAGAGCAGGCUAAAUGAGGGUAAAAGGAAGUAGUUUGAAAUCAAUUAUGUUUUCGAUGUCUCACAUUUAAACAUGCCAGAAUACAAAUAGCUUUGUAAAUAAUAGUGUUUCAUAACAUACUGGUUAUUUAGAAACAAAUAGAUUUAAUACAGGUAUAAUUACUCCUAAUAGGGCACUUAAACGGUGAGCAAUCACCCAGUAAUUGCUUGCAUUCCUGUGCGAUGACAGCCUGCACUUUAUCAGGUUAGGCUUGUCAAGCUAGACCUUGGGCUUCAUGCUAGGCUUCAUUUUAACCAGCUAACAACUGUAAAUUUUUAGCAGCUUGGUUAUACUAGUAUCUGAAAAGGUGUUAGUGAACGGUGUGUGUUAAAAUAAAGCUUUCUCUAGCAGAACCUCAGUGGAGUAAGCACAGCCACAGGGUGUACAAGGAUACCAGCUGCCAAGGGGGCUGAAAGAUUUUCCAUGGUGGAGUACCCCUUUCGCCCAGUUCUCUGCCUGGCAGGAUGGAUGAGAUCUGGCUGCCAGUGCAUGCCACUGCCUGACACCUUGCAUGCCAGACAGCUGACGGCUUCCAGCUCCAGCCUCCACACAGCAUGUGCAAGGAGGCCACAUUUCCAGAGAGAGGAGUUUGUUCCAUAGAGCCAAAUCCAUCAGGCUUUCAGGGAAUUACCCAGUAUCACAGAUUCAUUUCCAGCCUGCCACUUUUCCUCCAAGAAUCUGAUUUCCAGUCUUCCCAGGGACAACAGUUUCGCUUUUUUUAUUGCUGUUGUUAACUGUAAUCUUAAUUUUGUAUAAUGAACUACUAGAAAUAUAGCCCUUGGGUUAGCUGUAACAUGCAGUAGAUGUUGCACAUGCCUUAGUGAAUUGACUGCUAUUUUUCAGCCAGUAGAAAUGCCCCAGAAGACUGCAUGUGCUAUGUGAACAUAUCCCAGUCAGUUGUAGUAAACCAACUUUUCCCCUCAGGAGUCUGUCUCAAGCUUACAUGCGUAAUGAUACUUCUAAGAGUUUGCCCAGGUUAAUGCCUGUGAGCUGCUCUGCUGGUGCCUUUCAAAACCACAUGAAAGGGCAGUAGCACAUUGACUGCAGCCUUUGCUCAUCCCUAUCGUAUGCCUCCCUCCUGACACUUUCACACAGGUGGCAUUGCAGCCUUCAUUUUUCCCUAGGAGGGUGACUGUAAUUGUUUACUCCUAAUUGCCAUAUUUCUCCUUCAUCAUAAAUUGCAAAAGUGAGCAAGCCCCCUACAACUUUUAUUACACUUCUGCAGUGGGUGCUGCUCCCACUUGAUAGGUGGUGGGCAGGAAGUCCACCUGUGCUCUAGGUCCCUUCUGCACUCCUAGUGCCCAGCUCCCUACUGAGGACCAGCCCCCAUGUUAUUGGUGUUUUGCUGUAUUCAGGGCCCUCACAAAAACAUCAGACACAUCAAUAAAGAGAUGGAUUCUGCCCAUUCUGGCUACUGGGUAAGGGGCAGCCAGCUCUCUUCAGGUUAGGGCAUUGAAAUAGAAGUACUUCAAAAGCAGCAUUAAAAAGAUCUUUCUGAGUAAAGCCUCAGGCAUAAGGGAGUAGUCAUACAAUUAUAUUUUCUUCCAGCUACUAAUCUUUCUUAGCUUCUAGCCUGUUUCCUUGCUGAUCCCUGGAAAGUGGGAUUUUAGGUGUUUACUGCUGAAGUUUGGAGUGAUUUAAAAUGAAUUCUUAAAUAUAGUAUAUGAUUCUCAGAACUAAGUUAUUUAUACAUUACUAAUGUUCUAAGCAGUUAAUACUUUCUAAGGACUCUUGUAAUUUAUUAGCCAAUUUCAUAUCUUAUAGCUUAUGAAGAAAUGCCAAUUAACCCUCGUAGCAUGCAGUCAAGAUAGAUGAGGAUUAAGUCCCUACAGUGAGCCCUGGGAAUAGCAGAUAUGCAACGACCUGAAAAUUGUAUCCACAUCUCUUUUGCCUUUAAUUAACAUAAGUUCAUGGUUGGAGUUCCUUUCCUCUUUUUAUUAAUCCUUUAUCUACAGUCUUGGAUCUCUGGGGCUCUAACAAUUAGGACAGCUUACACUUUCUUGAUUCUUCUGAAUCUGACUUCAGACUUGCAGGGGCUUUCCAACCAGACUUGAUAAGCAGGGUGCUGGGAGGCAGGACAAGAUUUCAGUAAGUGUCCAGAGAUAACACAACUGUCCCGGAAGCCAGGAAAAUGAGGAGAGCUGUGGAUACACAUGGGUAACUGACUGUGAGGAAAUUUGAAAUUGCUCAAAUCCUGAUGUGACUACCAGCAUCACCACAGAACUUGAGAGCAUAAGAAAGGAAUGCUAACAGACUUUGAAACACUUCAGAGCUAGUGUUAGAUUCCUGUGGAGAAUACUGUAAAUAAUGCAUAAGGCCAUUAUGCUAUUCUUUGUGUGCAAUUACUUUAUUAGUUUUGAAAUAAAGAGGAAUGUAAAUUUCAAUCUGUACUUAAGACAAAAAAACAAAGCAAUGUAGUAUGCUAUUCCUGAGUAAAAGAUUAACU
RNAcentral lists this long non-coding RNA (3418 nucleotides) under Gallus gallus (chicken). RNAcentral describes it as "lncRNA (ENSGALG00010026398.1)". Lineage: Eukaryota; Metazoa; Chordata; Aves; Galliformes; Phasianidae. The record is from RNAcentral.